GAUGAACGCUGGCGGCGUGCCUAAUACAUGCAAGUCGAGCGAACGGACGAGAAGCUUGCUUCUCUGAUGUUAGCGGCGGACGGGUGAGUAACACGUGGAUAACCUACCUAUAAGGCUGGGAUAACUUCGGGAAACCGGAGCUAAUACCGGAUGAUAUUUUGAACCGCAUGGUUCAAAAGUGAAAGACGGUCUUGCUGUCACUUAUAGAUGGAUCCGCGCUGCAUUAGCUAGUUGGUAAGGUAACGGCUUACCAAGGCAACGAUGCAUAGCCGACCUGAGAGGGUGAUCGGCCACACUGGAACUGAGACACGGUCCAGACUCCUACGGGAGGCAGCAGUAGGGAAUCUUCCGCAAUGGGCGAAAGCCUGACGGAGCAACGCCGAGUGAGUGAUGAAGGUCUUCGGAUCGUAAAACUCUGUUAUUAGGGAAGAACAUAUGUGUAAGUAACUGUGCACAUCUUGACGGUACCUAAUCAGAAAGCCACGGCUAACUACGUG
RNAcentral lists this ribosomal RNA (497 nucleotides) under uncultured bacterium. RNAcentral describes it as "partial 16S ribosomal RNA". It matches the Rfam family "Bacterial small subunit ribosomal RNA", at positions 28 to 507 of the family's 1533-position model. The record is from RNAcentral.